RNAcentral lists this long non-coding RNA (256 nucleotides) under Gallus gallus (chicken). Its description in RNAcentral is "long non-coding RNA NONGGAT004785". The record is from RNAcentral. Lineage: Eukaryota; Metazoa; Chordata; Aves; Galliformes; Phasianidae.
GGAUGUUGAGGUCGGGAGGUGGCAGUGGGGCCGGCAGGGGGUGUCCCAGCACCACAAUCAGCUGCGGGUGGCAGCGCUGCAUCCUCCCCCGACUGUGGUGCUCCAUCUGUCUCCAGUGUAAGAUGGGAACUGAAGCAGGAGAAGCGUGACUGUUGUGGCCAAAGUCACCCUGGGAGUCCACAGAACUGCAUCCUGAUCUUUGAAGUCCAAUUUCAUUAUCUGUAUCAUGUAUUGCCUUUCUGUUCCCUUGCUGCUG